UCUCCCCUUCCAGCUACUAGAAUAAAUAAGUUGUUUAUUGCAUAUGAGAGAGUCUUAGGCAAGUACGAAAUCAAAGGAAGGAGUUUUGCAUUUAGCCCUGAGAGUAAGGAGGUUCGUGGCCAUCUAUACAUCUUGUGGGUGCACAUUUCACCACACAGCCAUGACUCUGGGGAAAGCUGUCUCCCCAGCUCGUGGCUUUCCCAUGUGGGCUUAACAGCUUUGCUAUUGAAGGGGGACUGACAGCAGAGGAGUUCUCAUCAAAGGCAGUGCUGACACAGCUGCCAGCAGAUCUUGCUACCUCAAUACCAGAAUGACAGCCACAAAUUGGAAGGAAUUCAGCAAAGAACAGUGGAGAUAAAAGAGCUACAGAGACUAAGGAGUUACUGUGUUUCCACUGAGCAACAAAAGCAUUACAACCACAGCCGAUGUAAUGGGUGCUUAAGACUCAGGAAUGUUCUACACAGAUGAGUCUUGACCCAGCAUUUCAUCACAGACCAUGUGAACAACUCUGCACCAUUGCAGGGAAGGAAAUAGCCUUUGAAGGGCAUUUCCACCCAUCGGAUUUCAUUCUGUGACAGUGAAAUACAUCUUUCUGUGCAUCUGGAGAUUUCACAUCCUGCACCUUUGUAAACCACAAACUUCACUCCUUCCCAAAAGGAUGGUGGGUGAGAAAAAGAUAUCAGGUAUAAAUUCCAGAACCUGCUUUUCUCCUUCUCUCUUAAAAUGUUUAUGAUCAAUGGUACAACCUGAGUCAACAAGGCUCAGCUGACUCAAACUCUCUAGUAUGAUCAUAUUUUUAUUAGACAUUCUUCAUAACUUUUAUUCUUACUACAGAGGACAAAACAACGUAUUUUCAACAAGAAUUGCCUGCACAAAAUGCUACAUUCAUCAUUUAGGAUUCUCAGUUCUGAAAAGGUUAAAGGAAAAAUUUGGAAAAAAAAAAAAAAUAUAAAUACAGUUACAUGAAACCUAUAAUACUCAAAACAGGCUAAUCACAAGCUGUAUAUACUGAUUAUAUAUUUGUACAGCGAUUUAGUCAUAAAGGAUCGUUGAAACACAAAGUCACACUGUAUGCUACCGAUUUCCUUCUUGGAAAGAAUUAUUUAUCUAAAGACCGAUUUUUAUUUUUGUCAAAUAUUUGGAUAACAAAGGCAGUGAGAAAUUCCAGGCUCAAUUUUUCUUCUUCCACAUAGCUUCCCUUGUCAAAAUUAAUCUAAUACUGCUACAAUACCUGUUAAUUAUAGUUUUAAUUCUGCAUAUGCUUGGCUUUAUGAUUAAAUUUUGUAGUUCUUACUUGAGAAAAAUUACUUCUGAAAUGAAGAAGAAUGUCGACAACUCAGAACUGCAAACUGCAGUCCUGCAUAGCUAUAAGCUGUGCAGUUGUUUGUUUGUAUAUGAAAACAGUAGUAUAAAAUAGUCCAAAAUAUAAAUUAAGAGCACCAAUUUAGUAAGAGAAAUGUGUCCCACAAGAGUCAAAAACUCAAGGGGACUUGUUUAUUAUUUUUAACCUCUCGGAUUCUGCUAUAACUUCAGCUGUGGGUGACAACACAGAGAAGCUGCUGUAUUUUCCCAGUUGUUGGGUGGCUGAAAGUGAUGCAGGUUGGUGGUCUCUGCUGGAGAGCUGGCCACAACCAGGACAUUCAUACACUCGUUCGGGAAUGGGGAAGCCAUCUACAAAGUGACUCCGGUCUGUGCCAGGGCCUGGGAACACACUAGUGACUCUCCCAGGGCCGCCGCCCAGGCUCAGUGUCUCCUAUGGCAAAGGCUCAAGGGCACAAGCCAGAAUUCACUGGAGGUGAUGGCAAGGCUUGCACUGAUUUCAUACCCCAUGACUACGUCACGCCCUGGCUUCAGACACCAGAAUUAUCAACCUGACGUUUUCCAUCACAUCAUCAGCAAUUAAAAAGGGAAGCAGGAGACUAACAAAUGAAGCGCCAUCUGGAGCUGAAAAACAAAGUGCCCGCCCACCAGGAGGGGUUUGAUCCUCUGUGACACAUCCUGCUCAGCAUCUCUGUUAUCACAGGGACACCCAGCACUUUGCAGCUAUUUUGGCAGUGUAAAAAGCCAGAUUUGUAUGCAGCCACUCUGAUAGGCUUGACCCGUUGAGUUGUCCAUGUCUUAGCAGUGGAACUAUCAAUUACUUACUUGGGGGUGUUAACCCCAUAGGAAGGAAACACAGCCCUGCCGUUACCCUACACACACCACGGCAGGUAUGACAUUGUGGGAGACUGGAUCCUGUUCCAUCCAGUCAUCUGACCUUUGUAAAAGAGCCUAUUAGGAAGCAAUGUGCUGCACAUAGAAAUGUCUGCUUGCAUUCCCCUUCCACAGACAUGUGUUUGGCGCCUGGGGUAUUAACUUUCAGACUUUGUUUCUUUUUACUGCGUAUUUGUCUGCAGUACUGUUGCCUGCAAAUGGGGUGCAGUAGAAAAACAAGCUGUGUUGCCUUUGCCCUUUCCCAGUUCUCUCAGAUGAAAAGGUGAUCUUAAUAAUUUCUUAUAUGAGAUGCCACAGUCUAAUGAGAGUUUAUUUUCAGUUUUGUUCAGAACUAUAACCCAUAUUAAGUUUCUAAGUUACAUGUAUACAUACAUAUAUAUAUAUAUAUAUAUAUAUAUAUAUAUAUAUAAAAUGAUCCAGUAGCAAUUAAAUAAACAGCAUUUUAAUGAAGUGUCUCUGGAAAACAAGAUGAAAAUAAUAAAUUCUUAGACACAACACUAAAGGCAAAUCAUUGUUAUUUCAUAAACAUUCAAUUUCUUCCAAAAAUGCUACAACCUUUAUUGUUUCAGAGCUACAUUAUAUGCUAUUUUUAUUAGGUUUCUUGCAUAAAUAAAAAACAACACAUUUUGCAGACACAAGAAUGAAAAAAUAUAUUCAGCAGGAUGUUACUCACAAACCAUCCAAAAAAAAGCUUUGACCAUAAUGCAAAGAAAUCAAUUUGACCAAUCAUCUGUGCAAUUUGUGUUCUGAAAACUCUCUGUUCUAUAAAACAGAACUUGCUAAUUUUUUUUCAGAACUAAUGUAUUUCUCACUUCAUACAGGACCAUACCAUUAAGUUCAAUCCAUUAAUUUUUUUAAUAUAACUGAGAAUAUGUUUUGAUUAUUUACCUUUCCCUGUUUUCCAACGCAUUUUUGGUAGUUCUUUUUACUUAUUUUGCAAGAAUAACCAUGCAGGUUUCUAUUUCAACACUAGCAGGUUACAAUGCUCUAGGCAGAUAUCAAGAAUUAUGUAACUUGAUAAGUCCCUAUUCCUUUUUUGCUCUUUGUAAAACAGUAGCUAACAACACCUAUGUAUAAUGCAUAUUAUAUUCAUGUGUACAAUGUAUAUUAUAUUCAUUCAAUAUUAAGCAAAAAAUAAUUUCAAUGGCAGGAUGUAACUGCUUAUACAUUAUUAAAUAAAGGAAGCUGGAAAGAACAUUUACGUGAAUAUACUCCAGAAAAGAGCAAAUGGCAGGAGAAUACUUGGGGCAGAAGUAAUUUCACCAUCUUCUAACAUGACAGCAACUGUGGGUUCACAUAUGCACAGCUACUCAGUACAGGAAAGCUGAGAUUAAGAGUUCCUGUGCAUGAAUACAUGUGGACAAUGGUGUUAACACUAGUCACUCAAAAGUGGAUAAAGAGGCAAUGGGUCAAAAAAAGGAAGUGAUUUUUGUUAGCAGCAUUAUCCUCACGUAUGCACUAGCACCAGAGCUUUUAAGGCUUUGGGAGCAGAAUUCCUUAUUCUGUACUCAUGGUCAAAAAAAGACUCACGCAGAUCAUAAUAAACAAUCACUUUCACUCAGUGAAGUGGUUACAGCAUUUACCUGCCUGAGAUGGAUGGUACUGGAAAUUAUGCGUAUUUGGAAAAACACUUAUUUUCCCCUGCAGGAAACACAAACAGUUUUUUAUUAUUAUCACCUUUUGCUCAUUGUUUAAAGGUACUUCUAUAUAUCUCUGGAUUUCUAGUUUAAGAUCCCCUGUGAGGAAUCCAUAAUAGAUGGAAUUUCAUUAUGACAUUUGAAAAAAUUAUCUU
Columba livia (rock pigeon) is the source of this 4006-nucleotide long non-coding RNA. RefSeq lists it as uncharacterized. The record is from RefSeq and is a predicted model, not a curated record. Lineage: Eukaryota; Metazoa; Chordata; Aves; Columbiformes; Columbidae. The transcript has 4 exons.